GACGAACGCUGGCGGCGUGCUUAACACAUGCAAGUCGAACGCUGAAGCUCAGCUUUUGUUGGGUGGAUGAGUGGCGAACGGGUGAGUAACACGUGAGUAACCUGCCUCCUUCUUUGGGAUAACGCCCGGAAACGGGUGCUAAUACUGGAUAUUCACUGGUCUUCGCAUGGGGGUUGGUGGAAAGUGUUUUUCUGGUGGGGGAUGUGCUCGCGUCCUAUCAGCUUGUUGGUGGGGUGAUGGCCUACCAAGGCUUUGACGGGUAGCCGGCCUGAGAGGGUGACCGGUAACAUUGGGACUGAGAUACGGCCAAGAAUACUACGGGAGGCAGCAGGGGGGAAAAUUGCAGAAUGGGGGCAAGAAUGAGGCAGCGACGCCGCGUGAGGGAUGGAGGCCUUCGGGUUGGGAACCUCUUUCGCUAAUGGUCAAGCCGCAACAAUGGUUGUGGUGAGGGUAGUGGGUAAAGAAGCGCCGGCUAACUACGUG
Molecule: ribosomal RNA, 483 nt
Filed under: uncultured bacterium
Lineage: Bacteria
Description: partial 16S ribosomal RNA
Rfam family: Bacterial small subunit ribosomal RNA
Source: RNAcentral